UGAGGAACAUGACCUUCGGCGGGGGAUAGCCGGCCCAACGGCCGGGUAAUACCGCGUACGACCACAUGGGGACAUCCCUGAGUGGUGAAAGCAGCAAUGCGCCGAUGGAGUGCCUCGCGGCCUAUCAGCUAGUUGGUGAGGUAACGGCUCACCAAGGCGACGACGGGUANCUGGUCUGAGAGGACGACCAGCCACACUGGAACUGAGAUACGGUCCAGACUCCGUAGGUGG
This 231-nucleotide ribosomal RNA is filed under the name uncultured bacterium. Its description in RNAcentral is "partial 16S ribosomal RNA". It matches the Rfam family "Bacterial small subunit ribosomal RNA", at positions 118 to 347 of the family's 1533-position model. The record is from RNAcentral.